UAACCAGACUGGGGGGAUGCGGUUGGGGGGGGGGUAGCAAAACGCCACAGCGUUAAGGGUUUGAUCCUCCCAGAGCUAAGGGACACAGGCCAAAGCAAGCACUUGCAGGCUGAUAGGAAAUCGAGACUCUGAUCAAGGAAGCAGUGUGCGUGCAGUAAACUAAGAAACUUCUGGAAAUUGUUCUUUUUAUGGGCCGAACGUGUUCCCCAGAUUCCUAUGCUGAAACCCUGGUCUUCAGCAAUUCAGAAUGUGACUGUGUUUGGAGACAGAAUCUUUAAAGCGGUACUUAAGGUAAAACGGGGUCAUCAAGGUCACGGCAGUGCACUCUGACCCACGUCCCCAUGAGAAAAGAGGUGAGGAGACAGACGCGCGCAGAGGAACCAGGUGACCCCACCAUCCACAUGCAGACGCCGCUCGGGGGAGGCAGCAGUGCUGAAACCUUCGUCUUGGACUUCCAGCCUCCAGAACUGAGGCCACAGACGCUACGGCUUGAGCCGCCCGAACACAAGGACACUGCCCUGUCUGGGGUCCAGCUCAGCGGGGAGCAUGUCUGGAGGACCACCACCCCUGGCGUUCUCCCCUCCUCAGCCCUCUCCAUCUCCCAAUGCUGUAUCUUAUUUUGGUAAUCAGCAGGAAGAGGAGGAAAUUAGGGCAAAAGACACACACAGGUACUGAAAAACCAACCCACAUCCCCUCCUGGUAGAGGUCCCGGCCUCCAGGAGAUGGCCCAGGCAAACUUCUGUGCCAACCCUGUCCGGUCCUCCUGCAUGCUGGAGGUUGAGCACAGCGCCCCGGCGCUGGCCCACCUCAUUCAGUAGCCAGCACCUCCAAGGGAUGUUCACAUGCCCCAACUCUUCUGGCCCUAAAACCACCCAGGAGCAGGCAUCAUGCCCAUUCUACAGAUGAAGCAACUGAGCUCAGAGUGGAAGAGCUUUCGGAGACCCCAGCCACACGCCUCCUGGGCCUCACCAGCCUAGAACGAAGUGCUGGGAUGGGUCAUAUCAGAGGCAGAGCCCCUCCAGCCCCACGACAGGUGGGAAGGAGAUGACGGGACCACCACCCUCGCCCCAGCCUAUGUCCCACGGCCCCGCCACAUGGGUGAGGAUGCCGGGCAGUAGAGAAACCCCAGGUCACACAGAGCACAGCACGAGACGGGCCACACGGCACUUUAGGCAGGGCAGGACGUAGAAGCGAACAACUCCCACGCGACGUCAGUCUGUGAGGUCAGCAGGUUGGGAGAUGCUGCCAUUGAAAAGAUAGUCUGCCCCUCGAGGCUUCCAAGAGGUCAGCGCGCCCACACCACACAGGGCCACGUGGGCGAGCACCAGUGUAGACGUAAGAAGAGUGUCUCACAGCAGAGCUGAGGGGACCCAGGAGACAGCUGGAUGUGGAGACGACACUGGGCGGGGCACCGGCCAGCGUUCCUGGGAGUCUUCUCCUCACGAUUUAUCAGGAUUCCCUGGUCUGCGGGAACCGAGCUGGUGGAAAGGUUCAGUCUCUGAUGACCGCUGGACUCCAAGCGGCCACUUCCGUGGGAUGAAGACUCGAGCUUGAAAUCCUCCCUACAAGCGGCUCCAUCCAUCCUCUGAGAACAGGCUUCUGCACGUUGCUCAGUUCCAGAAUGUUCUUUUUUAUUUUUUAUUUUAUUUAUUUAUUUUUUAAGAUUUUAUUUAUUUGACAGAGAGA
Neogale vison (American mink) is the source of this 1686-nucleotide long non-coding RNA. RefSeq lists it as uncharacterized. The transcript has 4 exons. Lineage: Eukaryota; Metazoa; Chordata; Mammalia; Carnivora; Mustelidae. The record is from RefSeq and is a predicted model, not a curated record.